RNAcentral lists this ribosomal RNA (495 nucleotides) under uncultured bacterium. Its description in RNAcentral is "partial 16S ribosomal RNA". It matches the Rfam family "Bacterial small subunit ribosomal RNA", at positions 28 to 506 of the family's 1533-position model. The record is from RNAcentral.
GAUGAACGCUGGCGGCGUGCCUAAUACAUGCAAGUCGAGCGAACAGACGAGGAGCUUGCUCCUCUGACGUUAGCGGCGGACGGGUGAGUAACACGUGGAUAACCUACCUAUAAGACUGGGAUAACUUCGGGAAACCGGAGCUAAUACCGGAUAAUAUAUUGAACCGCAUGGUUCAAUAGUGAAAGACGGUUUUGCUGUCACUUAUAGAUGGAUCCGCGCCGCAUUAGCUAGUUGGUAAGGUAACGGCUUACCAAGGCAACGAUGCGUAGCCGACCUGAGAGGGGGAUCGCCCAACCGGAAAUGGAAACCGGGCCAAAACCCUAGGGGGGGCAAGGGGGGGGAAUUCUUCGGAAAGGGGGAAAGCCCGGCGGGACAACCGCGGGGGGGGGGAGAAGGUUUUCGGAACGGAAAACUUUUUUUUUAGGGAAAAAAAAAUUGUGAAAUAAACUAGCCCGUUUUGGCGGUACCUAAACAAAAAGCCCCGGCUAACCUCCG